RNAcentral lists this ribosomal RNA (535 nucleotides) under uncultured bacterium. RNAcentral describes it as "bacterial SSU rRNA". It matches the Rfam family "Bacterial small subunit ribosomal RNA", at positions 777 to 1310 of the family's 1533-position model. The record is from RNAcentral.
AAUAGAUACCCGGGUAGUCCACGCCCUAAACGAUGUCGACUGGUUGUUGGGGGUUUGACACUCUCAGUAACGAAGCUAACGCGUGAAGUCGACCGCCUGGGGAGUACGGCCGCAAGGUUAAAACUCAAAGGAAUUGACGGGGACCCGCACAAGCGGUGGAUUAUGUGGAUUAAUUCGAUGCAACGCGAAAAACCUUACCUACCCUUGACAUGUCCGGAAGGCUGCUGAAAGGCGGCUGUGCCCGAAAGGGAACUGGAACACAGGUGCUGCAUGGCUGUCGUCAGCUCGUGUCGUGAGAUGUUGGGUUAAGUCCCGCAACGAGCGCAACCCUUGUCAUUAGUUGCUACCCGCAAGGGGAGCACUCUAAUGAGACUGCCGGUGACAAACCGGAGGAAGGUGGGGAUGACGUCAAGUCCUCAUGGCCCGUUAUGGGUAGGGCUUCACACGUAAUACAAUGGCGCGUACAGAGGGUUGCCAAGGAGCGAUCUGGAGCCAAUCCCGUAAAGCGCGUCGUAGUCCGGAUUGCAGUCUGCAA